CACAAAUACAGGGAAUCCACUGUUCACUCGGACAGAGUCUUCCCUGUAUUUGUACGGCGUCUCACAAGUACAAGAGUUCAAACAUGAUACAACCACAACCAGAUGAACAUACAAAUAACCAACAGUUAUAUAUUCAUACACCAUUCACCACAUUUUAACAUUUAUACAUUCAGUAUUUAAACAUAAAUCCAUAUCUAUCAGUUAAAAUGUUUCCAACCACAGAAACAGGUUUUGAAAUACUAAGAUACAAAAUCCACAGAAAAUCUUUUGAAAGCUGUUCCCUAUACGAGAACUUUUAUCUUUUUAAAAAACGCUACCACGAGGGGUAGAAAACUAUUUUUAUUUCAUGAAGACACAAUGAAGACACAAAAUCCUUUAUUACAUUACAAAACCAACUGAAAACAUCAAUAUCCAGAUAGUAAAAUAAAAUUGAACCAUAAUAUGUCUAACUUAGUUAUUUAUUUAAGCAUGAAGAGUAAGGGGAGAUAAACCAAACCACGGGACGGAAAGUUCUAUCGUAUGCUAGACUCGAUCCUCACCAGCUGUCCCACUCGGACCUCUUACGUCACCUGUAAUGGGGGCGGGGGGUGAGAACAUAUAAACAUGUCCCCCCUCCCAGUGGGUACCGCAAGCCGAAGAAGGCGAGGGGUACUCACUAGUCACGGAGAUAAACAAGUAUAUAGAUAAUGGUAGUACAGUAGCUAAGAUAAACAAGUACUGAAAUGUAUAUGAAUAAACCACUACAGCUACUGUAUGCAUGCAUCAACGGGACAAUCAGUCCAAAAGUAUCCAAUCUGAAAUGGCCGUAUUGGUACCCAACACCUCAGGCCUAUGCCAUAUCUGCUCUGACAGAAACAAGCCAUAUUGGUACCCAACACCUCAGGCUGAAAGCAUAUAACCUCACAAGGGCUCACGGGUUGACACAAGCAACCACUUUUUCGGAAAAGAACACCCUCUUGCGGUGGAUCAGACCGCUGGUGUUUGUGAAAUGCGUGUGAGCAGUGGCGAUCGAUGCAGAAUGCUCAAUAGCCAAACGUCGGCAACGAGCCGACAAUCCUGCCCACUCAGGGAACACUUACCAUAUGGGUCCUCAUGUAACAAAAUCGACCAACCAGGUCACAAGUAUAGAAUAUGAACUCGACCAACCAUGUCACAAGUAUAGGAUACGAAACUCGACCAGCCAGGUCGUAGAUACAAUAUAGGAGAAUUGAUCAACCAGGUCACAGAUACAAAUAGGAGAAUCGACCAACUAGGUCAUAGAUAUCAUAAACGGAUAAAAUAUACUCUACUCCUACACAUGAUACUACACAUGGAAACAUCUAAGUAGAGUAAAUAAGGAAAUAGCAUGGGUGCAGGGCUCAACAUGUAUAAGGUAAGUGAUAUGAAUAACAAGGGUAAAGGAAACGUCACCGAGCGUGCACCACUGUACCGACUUCGGAUCGAAGUACCCACCUGUACGUGUCUGACGAAGAUCUCUCGACUGUGAAGACGGAACAAUCGAACCUACGAAAGGUCCAACGGGUUAGAAUCUAACCCACUAACAUGUCUCGCUAACACACAAUCCCCACUCACCAAAACCAUGAGAACUGGUUUUCCCAAAACCGAUUACCGAACAAGCCGGAAGUCCCGAAAACCGCACCGGAACUCCACCGUCGCUCACCCGUCAUUUCCGAACCCUCGAAAUGAUGCGGGUGACCAGCCAACAAGGCUCAGUGACGUCGCAAAUAAUCACCAAGUACCGUCGGAAGAAUUCCGAACCGAAACCGCGUUCUAUCGGCAGAUUUUACCGAGAAACGCUCCGAAAAUCACUUUUCGAUCUUCGCAGGGGCUUGGGGCCUUGGACGAUCAGUCCAGAGGUUAUCCUCAGCCCAAACAUGCUGCCAACAGCAGCCCCGACAAACAGAAUUGCAUAAAAGCCCUCCCAGAUACACAAAAUCACAUCAUUUUAUGUGAUUUUAGGGCUUUUAUGGUCCGUGCACACAAACUAGAGGUCGAUUAAUCAGACCGUCACACUCGUUGAUAGGUUUCAGCGUGUCGGAGGCCGUGCUCACCUUUCAGAGCACUGCCGGCCACUGUGGCAUGCGCACGAGCGACGCAAAAAUCAGCAAAACAGCGCGCACAGCGCUAAGAUUAUGUCUAAUACACCAACCAGGGCAUCUCAGCCUUUAACAGAGGUGAGCAUGAUGUUCAGCACGAAACAACGAUGAUCAUGCUCACCUCUACAUUCGUCGGGGUGCUUUCGGAUCACUUAAAAGGCGACCGGAACCCCAAAAUAUAAUGCUGGAACCGUAAUUACAGCCUUACCAGAACAGUGGAGCUAGGGUUGGUCACCGGCGGCCGGACGGUGGGUGGUUUGGCCGGGGAAGUGUGGUGCUCCCCGCUGUGGGCGGCGGCAACGCGUGGAUAGGAGGGAAGCCCAGCCUCGGCCCGCACCAAGUUUGGGCCGCUGUAGGGAGCUNAGAAUCGACCAACCAGGUCACAGAUAUCAUAUACUGAUGAAAUCUACUCUACUCCUACACAAGAUACUAAACAUGGAAACAAACGAGUAGAGUAAAUAAGGAAAUAGCAUGGGUACAGGGCUCAACAUGUAUAAGGUAAGUGAUAUGAAUAACAAGGGUAAAGGAAACGUCACCAAGCGUGCACCACUAUACCGACUUCGGAUCGAAGUACCCACCUGUACGUGUCUGACGAAGAUCUCUCGACUAUGAAGACGGAACAAUCGAACCUACGAAAGGUCCAAUGGGUUAGAAUCUAACCCACUAACAUGUCUCCCUAACACACAAUCCCCACUCACCAAAACCAUGAGAACCGGUUUUUCCCAAUACCGAUUACCGAACAAGCCGGAAGUCCCGAAAACCGCACCAACUCCACCGUCGCUCACCCGUCGUUUUCGAACCCUCGAAACGAUGCGGGUGACCAGCCAACAAGGCUCAGCGACGUCGCAAAUAAACACCAAGUACCGUCGGAAGAAUUCCGAACCGAAACCGCGUUCCAUCGGCAGAUUUUACCGAGAAACGCUCCGAAAAUCACUUUUCGAUUUUCGCAAGGGCUUGGGGCCUUGGACGGUCAGUCCAGAGGUUACCUCAGCCCAAACAUACUGCCAACAGCAGCCCGACAAACAGAAUUGCAUAAAAGCCCUCCAAGAUACACAAAAUCACAUCAUUUUAUGUGAUUUCAGGGCUUUUAUGGUCCGUGCACGCAAACCAGAGGUCGAUUAAUCAGACCGUCACACUCGUUGAUAGGUUUCAGCGUGCUGGAGGCCGUGCUCACCUUUCGGAGCAUUGCCGGCCACUGUGGCAUGCGCACGAGCGACGCAAAAAUCAGCCAAACAGCGCGCACAGUGCUAAGAUUACGUUUAAUACACCAACCAGGGCAUCUCAGCCUUUAACAGAGGUGAGCAUGAUGUUCAGCAUGAAACAACGAUGAUCAUGCUCACCUCCACAUUCAUCGGGGUUCUUUCGGAUCAUUAGAAAGGCGACCGGGACCCCAAAAUGAAAUGCUAGAACUGUAAUUACAGCCUUACCAGAACAAUGAAGCUAGGGUUGGUCGCCGGCGGCCGGACGGCGGGCGGUUCGGCCGGGGAGGGGUGCAUCCGGUCGGAAGGGUCCAAGGCAGGUGCUGGCUGGCGGCGGGAGGCGGUAGGUGGCGCGGCGGCUGAGAUCAACUCACGGCUUGCUCUCGGGUUCAAAUGGUCCGCAGCGGCCCAGCGGCGGCCGGAGGAGCUCUGGGCGACGACGAUCCGUCGCCGGAGGCCGUGGGAAGUGUGGUGCUCCCCGCUGUGGGCGGCGGCGACGCGCGGAUUGGAGGGAAGCCCAGCCUCGGCCCGCACCAAGUCUGGGCGGCCGCAGGGAGCUCGGACGGCGGCCGGCGGCGUGCGGGGAGACGGAGCUAUAGGAGAACCGAGAGGAGGCCGGGGUGGCUUUUCCGGCGGCCGGAGCUGCUCGCCGGCGGUCCGGGUGUGCGUAUAGGCAGGGGAGGGUGUAGGUGGGGCGGCUAGUAUUAGCUAGGUGAACGUGGGCAGCCAAAGAACCAUGGAAACCCUAGAUGCCCCUUUUAUACAAGGUGUCAUUUUGCGAGAAACCCCUUCAAAGUCAAAUAAUUAUAAUCCUGCCCCUGCCUGCGUGUGUAACUUGCAGGCGAGCCCCUCGACAUUCAAAAUCUCGUGAAAUGACGCAUAAAAUACAUGGUCUUUUCGCGAUUAAUCGAUUCUGCCAAAUUGACCUCUCAGCGGACUUUUCACGAUUCCCGAAGAUCCGUCCGUCGAAUUUCCGAACGGAUUGCGCCAGCGCGUUCAGCACGACUGGGGCAUCGAAUCUAGCAUUUUAUUUCAUCUGAUUUGGUCUCUGAUCAGCGACGAAACCUGCCCUCUCUAUUUUCACCAUAUAACCACUUAUAUUAAUACGUGUAAUUUCAAUCAAACCCCUUUUUUCUUGACAACCGUGCAUCAGAACCCAAUUCCGUCAGUGCCAUUGGGUCCAGAAUGGUCGAGCCAUUCGAAACGAGCUAUUGAAGUCCUAUAUUCGGAGUUCAACGUACACCAAAACCCUUCUCUAAUCCUUGGCUCAUCCGGAAAGCCGGAGUUACUAUUCACUUAAGUCGUCGGUUCGGGUCGCGUAACUUCGCCGUCUUAGGUCAUUUUCUCCUGAAAUUUGACGAGUGGUUUAGUAAUUACAUUACACACAAAAACAUCAUCAACCAAGGGUUUAAUUUUAUUUUUCAAAAACUUCGGUUAUUACAGAAUAUGACAAGUAUAAAUGCACAUGUUAUAUACAAUGCAUGUUCGACCUCUAUGUAGUAGAGAGUUUUCGUGUUGAGCUUGGCCUUAUGGAUAGCAUUCUUAAUUGUGGCUUUGGAUCAUGUUGCAUCUAGUGAAUAUAACAAGUAUAAAUGCACAUGUUAUAUACAAUGCAUGUUGGACCUCUAUGUAGUAGAGAGUUUUCGUGUUGUGCUUAGCCUUAUGGAUAGCAUUCUUAUUUGUGACUUUGGAUCAUGUUGCAUCUAGUGAAUAUGACAAGUAUUAUACACUCUUGGAUUUGAAACUCAUGCUUGACAUAGAUGAUCAGUUAAUGUCAUAAAGUGGCAUUAGACUUGAGUAAUGCAUGUUAUAGUAAGCUAAUGUCAUAAAGAAACAUUGGGCUUGGAAUUGGUAUAGUAGGCUAAUGUCGUAAUGAGACAUUGGUCUUGGAAUUGGUAUAGUAAGUUAAUGUCAUAAAGAGACAUUGGGCUUGGAAUUGGUAUAGUAAGCUAAUGUCAUAAAGAGGUAUUGGGCUUGGAAUUGAUGUAGUAAGCUAAUGCCAUAAAGAGGCAUUAGGCUUGGAAUACGUAUGGACUUAGUAAAUCUAAGGUCGCAUGAGACAUUAAAAUUAUUGAACGGUUAAACCUUCACUUGGGGAUAUUAAACUAGACCUACGAGUUGCUAGCGAUUAUUUCUAUGGUUGAGCCAUGAUGACCGGAUCGUUGUGACGAUGACUAUGCUUGCUUGCCAUUUGUGCUCAUUCGCAUAUGCUUGUGAGGGUCGCUCCCUACAAGCCGGCACUCCGAAGUUAGCCUUUGCGACGCAGUUCGCUCGUGCGGGAUCGAGACGCCUGUAGGGUCGUGUGGAAUAGCCUCAUUCCCAGCGUGGGAUGAUGAGCUACCACAGGCAGCUAGGCGGUGAGACGCCUGUAGGGUCGUGUGGGACAGCCUCAUUCCUAGCAUAGAAUGAUGAGCUACCACAGGCAGCUAGGCGGCACAAGCUGCACUACACACGUGUAGAUCCUAAAUGAGAUUGAACGAGAAUAUUAAAUAACAUUAUGACAAUCACUACUUGAUAGUAUAUCGUAGUUGGAUUUAGUGGACAUUGGGACAUGUACUAUUGCUUUCGCAUAAUAGUAUACUUGGUGGCCAUGAUAAAGCAUAUUAAUUAUGUAUUGGUAUAUUGGAUCAUGAUGGGGUAGAUGUACACUACGUUGACAUCAUGUGAUAUUGCGGCAUUGUAAAUUACCAUUUCAUUACAUGCUUUUCCUAUUUGCAGUUUACUAGUAGUUCCUUUAUCUACUUAUGCUUUUGGGCUUAGUAGUGCAUUUUGCUCAGGUCAGUAAUUGCCCACUGGGAACUAUAAAUUAUAGUUCUCACGCCCCCUGUUUCAUGUUUUCUUUCAGAGCCUUCCACCUUGGGAGAGGCUCGGGAUCACGGGAAAGGAAUCGCCUCGAGAUAGCUAGCGAGGAAUUCGACGAUAAGUGGUCUACCUCUCUUCUGAGUUUUGUUUGGAGAUGUUGAGAGACUUGUACCAUUUUUAUAGAGACCACCACCUAUAUGUAGCUUGAGACUUAUGAUGUAUUAUUUUACGUUUUGCCUUAGUGGUUUAGUUUUCUUUGUUUCUACCUGUUGUUAGAACCUAGCUGUAUACUUGCUCUGAUAUCUCUAGAUACACUCUAUUUAUUGUUCAUUUAUUCACUAUUGUUGUAGACGUCUUAUAUGUAUAGGCAUAUGGCGGGUUUGGGAACGCACCGGGCGGGCCUAGGCCGGGUCCCGAGGCGUGACAGGAACGGAUCAGGAGACGCCAAGAGGCUGUGGAGCAAUUGGUAACUGCACCGAUUAUGAUGCACUGCGCGCAGCCGGGGGUUGCGGCCGAAACCAUUCAGACUGGGCGAAGCAAUCUGGCUCCUGGCUAUGCGGAGAUGCAGGCGGAGAGGGAGCGAGCUCUGGUGGCCCUCAUGACCUUCAGGAGAUUCAAUCCACCUAUCUUUGAUGGAGAGACCGUAGAUCCGUAGGUUGUGGAAAUGUGGAUUGAUUCCAUAAAGACCUUAUUUGAGGAUCUGUACACCUUGGAGCGAGACAAUGAACACCUAGCCGCACAUUGCUUGGAAAAGUCAGCAAAGGUGUGGUGGAAAGGGGUCAAGUGGGACCAAACCCCCAGUUGUCCUCCGGUCACUUAGGUAGAGUUCCGAGGAUUGGUAUUUUCUACUUUUUUCCUCAACAGUGAAAAGAGAAAGCUUCAGGAAAUGUUCAAAAAAUUGCGGCGAGGGAACCACAUGGUGAGAGAGUAUGAGAGGGAAUUCUCUCACAUUGUAAAUUUUAUUCCAUACGUGGUGCGGGAUGACAAGGACAAGGCAAAUUGUUUUGAGCGGGAACUUCGGCCAAAAAUUUUUGAGGUUGUGCAUCCUUUCAAGAUGCAAGCUUUUGCCAAGGACUUGGACCGGGUCUUGUGUGUAGAAUAAGACAAUGCAUUUGUGCGGUAGGAGCACACAUGUUAUGACAAGGAAAAAAGGAAAAAACGACCAUCGAGCGAACAUGGUGGUUAGUCGAGUUCUGGACAAACUCUAACAUGUUUGCGCUCACGAUCCUGAGUCUCGGGGAGCUACCAUACUCGAUCCUUUGCGAGAUGUUUAUUUGUGGGGGGUCCUCAUCGCCCAUAAUAGUGUGAACAAUGAGAGGGAAAGUGCUUUGGAUACGGUCAACCGGGCCAUAUGCGGGAUGAGUGCCUGCAGGGGGAUAACCGGGCCCUGACACUUACGAUAGCUUUCUCCUCUUCGAGAUAGCUUACAAGUACACAACCUACGGCAUGGUCUAGAGAACAUGAGUUGAUGUUGAGGCAACCGAGGGGUUGCGGUAGGCGCCAGGUGGCCAUGAGUACGCGACUAAGGUUGUGGAGCCUAUUGCUAUCAAUGAUGUUGUGGUAGGUAUGAUUUAAUUGAAGAAAUUAUAUGUAAAGCAUGAUGUGACAUUAGAGCAUUGCAUACAAUUAUUAUGUGGUCGUUUACUACUAUUUAGGUAUAAAUAUAGUAGGGACCAAAGUUAUGGGUAAGUAUAGAUAUCCGAGCAUGCUCGUGUCAUGGAAGUGUAUCGCCUGUUGGAGCAGGUAAGAAAUUAGAUUGUGAGAUCCCUGGUGUUUGACUGUGGAGGCUUGUCGACAGCUCUGGAGAGUGUCGGGACAAGUCCGAGUUGCGUUGGCGUCAAAUAGACGUAAAACGGACUCCGUGCAACGCGAGGGCAGCUUAUCGCGAAGAAUUCUGCAAAACAGCAGCAUUCUCUGCUUACUGUACCGGUACAAGCUUAGUGGCUGUACCGGUACAACCAGCGCGAAACAGCUCAAAUGCUCUCGGGUUGGCUCUUGUACCGGUACAGGAUCCCGUGUACCGGUACAAGGGAGUAGGUAGAGGGCUAAAACAGUAAAAUCUCACCUCGUUUGUAUCUCCGUCACCUCCCCUCUCCUCUUAAGUGUCCGAGCAGAGAGAGAGGGAGUACUUCCUGCUCCUCUCCAUUCUCUUCUUCUCCUCUCUCUCUCUAGGUGUUGGUGGAGAGUCCGGUUGGGGUUUUCGUCGCCGACGUCGCGCCGCGAGCCGUUCGAGCGCACUUGCUGCCGGAGCUUUGCAAGGAGGCCGGGCGAGGGAGCGUCUUCACUGUUCUUGACGUCGCGCCGAGGUUCGACGCUGUCGAGGUGGGUGGUUCGGCGUCUUUUCUGGAUUUUGGGCAAGUGCUACUAUUUCUACUCGGUUAGUAGCUGUUUUGCUGAAAUCCGCCGUCGACUGUUCGUAUUUCAGCUCGUUCUCCGCGUAGGAACGUCGGAUCGCGACAAGGCUUGGUUCGUUGGAUUCGGGACUUCAAGAGGAAUCCACGAAGCCCUCAUUUGCCAGAUUUGGUGAAGGUUAGCUCAGUCGAAUCCCAUUUCUACUCAGCUGCUGUGGAUUUUGGACUGAAUUGAGAAAUUUUGGUGUUUUAAUUUGGAGUUAGCUCGAUUUCGAGACUCGGGCGUUUUUGGUCGAUCCAGCAGGUGGUGUCGCAGUUGAGGGGGUUCUGUGCUGCCAGGGAUUAGCGUGUGAGGUGGGUUACAUCGGCUUUACUCCUAAGUUCUUAUUGGUCGACAUGUAUAGAUCUUGAUUUCGGUAAAUUAUGUUAGCUCAAAUUCAUGGACUAUAUGUAGAUUGUGAAAUCUGAAUUUUGGAGCAUGUUUUAUAAAUUAAGUAGAUUAUACAUGUUGGACUUGAAAAUUGAAUUAGGAGAAAACCUGCGAUUUGGACCUGUCACCAGUUUUAACUACCUGAUUUAGCUCUAGGAGCCGUUAGAAAAUUGUACUGUCACAGUUUCUUCGAGACGAGUACUCCAGGUAGUUUAGAAUAUAUUUACACUCGUGCUGGUUCGCCGAGUGGAUUUUUACAGGGUCGUUCAGGUCGUUUCGGACUGUUGGGUGCCGUCAGAGUUGACGGUGGACCCGUAUCGCCUUUUUGGCGUCAGAUUGUGCCGAGGGCACGUUACCUGUUGGUUGUUAGACCAGUUUGAGUCGAUUACUUGACUUUGGCUAGUUGGAGCCUGAUUGAGCUCGACAGAGAUACGCUGCAUACUCGGUUGGGUAGCGCCCACGAGUGCCACUCCGGAGUCAGGCUUGUGCUUUUGCGUUGGUGUCGCUCAUGCCAGUUGGACUUGCUCUCCACGGACCAGUUAGUGUGGAUAGAGCCCGAUAGUCGCAACGGGGCAGGGACGGGUGUAUUCACAGUCCCGGGGACGGGUAUGCUUACAGUCCCGAUUGGAUUGGGUCAGAUUUGACAUUUCCUACAGUUGGUUAGUGUAGAGCAUGAUAGUGUAGUGGAUGAUAGCGGUAGAGUAUGCUUCCUGCUUUCCUUCUAUCCUUGCUCCCUUCUGUAGACUUAGUGGGUGACCGAUGUUGUUUUGGGCGGUACCCACUGAGGACUACUUGUUUUUACAGUAGUUCUCACGCCCAGUUGUUACCUAUGUUUUUGCAGAGCCACAGGUUCCGGCUGCUGCACCGUCCGUGGAUCAGGAUCGAGGCAAGGGCGUCGCGAGUUAGAGCCCUACCCGUCGUGCUGAGCUAGAGGUGCCCUACUGCAGGUAGAUGUUUUGUUUCGAGUUUAUGUACAUAGUUGACUUAACUCGCCAGUGCGAGUAGCACUGUAUUUUGGAUCUGAACUAUGUAUAUGAAACUCUGUUUUAUUUAGCUUCUGUUUUCUCUAGCAGCUCUCUACUACUGUUCGUAGUAGUGUUUGAUUUACAGGUACAGCUAUCGCUUCGUAUACAGGGAAAAUUUCUUUGUAUACGGUGGAUUUGUCGGCGUGCCCGGGGAACGUGUAAUCCGGGGCGUGACAUAGAUGGUGCUAGUGAGUUGCUGGUAAUGAGCUAAAGAUAGGGCUCGAGGUAGGGAUGGAAAUGGUAGACUGACUUUCUCGGCAACGUGAGUAGCCGCUUGCGAGUGUCACGCCUCGAGACCCGUCGCUUUGGUCGGAUUUGACGCGCCAACAGAACACUGAAUGAACAGAGUUUUUCCUGUCUGUCUAAGACGUCACAAUCAGUACAAUUCAAGUGGUUCCAAACAGGAACAUAAUUCAUACACAGAUUGCGUAAGGAAGGCAUCAUAAACAAAAAUACUAAGCUAUUACAAGCAUUCGUUGGCAUUCCAUAUUACAUUUACAUUCUUUUUGCUUCAAAAUACAAUCAACUUUAUUAUAAUUUGUUCAUUCCUUUCUAUACCCUACGCUAUGCUGACCUAGGGUAUACCUUUGGUAUCAAGUGGUAGGGCGUUAUCUACCAAGCUAUACCCUUUCCUCGCGCCGCCGCGCCGCUCAUGUAUGGACCUGAAAAACAUGAGGAUGAGAACUAAAAACAUAGGUAAACCAGUAGGUAAGGUCAUCCAAGGGAAGAGUUCGACCUACCAGGUCCAAAAGAGGCAACAUAAGCAAAUUAGUCCAACAUAUAUAAACAUAUAACUGUAAGCAACUAACAAACAUCAUGCUUAUGCCUAAACUAAAUGCAAUGUGAAAUCCAUGCAUUAAGAUCUACCAUUUCUACUUUCUAUUUUACAAUCUAUUGCAUUCACAAUCCGUUCCUAACGUUCUUUUACCUUAGCGAAGCUAUUUCACUUGACUCGAUCUUGAGUCAAUCAUUCACAACUUACCUCCUUAUUGACUUAACCAUCCGGCGACGAACUCGCCGCACACGCCAGACAAUGGCUCAAGUCGCCAGGCGGUGUAAUCCUUUACUUGACUUAGUCAUUUGGUGGCGAACUCGCUGCACACGCCAGACAAUGGCUCAAAUCGCCAGGCGGUGUAAUCCUUUGCUUGACUUAGUCAUUCGGCGGCGAACUCGCCGCACACGCCAGACAAUGGCUCAAGUCACUGGGUGGCGAAAUUGUUGCACGUACCCCGGGUUGUUAAGUCUUGUGUGUUGGCAAAUUUUGUGAAGUGAGUCGGAGUCUUGAAGGAUCGGUGCGUAUCGUCGAAGAUCGAAGAAUCCAAGACUUCGAAAAAAGCGGAAUUAACUCACUUUGUGAAUCACGAUGCCCAGGUAAGGUUUUAAUUUAUGUUAUGGUGAUUCAUACUUAGUUGUAGGCAUUAGAAUCAUAAUACCAAAGUUUACUGGAUUAGAAAGUGUGUUGGUACUUUGCAAAACCCGAAACUGUGCAAAAAUUGGGUUUUUGCAAAGUGUACCGGUACAACAUCGGAAGUGUACCGGUACAACAUCGGAAGUGUACCGGUACACAUUCUGUUCCGGUACAGCAAGCGACUUGUCACCGGUAACAUUUUUACGCAGGUUUUCUCUUCCGUCAUCGUGUAACCGGUAACAGCUUAAAGUGUACCGGUACACAAUGUAAUUUUCAAAAAAACUUUCUGAUCCGACUCCAAUUGAAUCUAAAGUCUAUAAAUAAGCUAUUGCGGUUCUCUAACAUAUUAAGCAUCACGAAAAUACAUGUUUUAGAAACCUUCGAGGCUUGGAUUUCAUCUAAAACCUAUUUUCUACAUAUUAGCUUCUUUUAGGUCAAAUCGAGAUAUUGGAAUUUCAUAUCUAUAUGUCGAUUUGAUCUUCGCUUCGCUUGGAGUUUCCUUCCCUGGUUUUCAUCGAUACUCUAAACGAAGGAUCACCAUACACAUGAUGUUCUUCAUGACGGCGUCAUGCAUUCGGCGUGAUUGACGACGGUUCGUGGAUUCGGAUCGUGAGCUUCGUGGAUUCGGAGUGGAGGCGUUUCGUGGAUUCAGAACGAGGUGUUCGUGGAUUCGAACGUGUGGGCGUGGAUAACCCGGAGGAUUGCGCAAGAUUCAUAGGAGAUUAAGAGAGGUCGAAUCCGUGGAGUCGGUAAUCACCUUGUAAUCUUUUCUCUUAGUGAAUUAUUUUUUCGUGUGUUGGUCCCGUGGGUUUUUCUCCAAGUUGGAGUUUUUUCACGUAAAUCUCGGUGUGAUUUUUAUUUUUCGCAUUUAUUUAUCGCAUUGAGAUUUGUGGUUUUUCGCUAUUACACCUAUUCACCCCCCUCUAGGUGUUAGAUACAAUCUAGAUAGAUCCUUGGGCACCUCAAAACUUUCAUUUGGUAUCAGAGAGGGAUCUAGAUAUAUUAAUAUCUAAUGGCCGAAGGCGGUAAUAUUAAUCAACCACCGCUCUUUGACAGCACAAAUUAUGCCUAUUGGAAAGUUCGCAUGAGAGCUUUUCUAAUCGCAAUCGAUGAGCGGGUGUGGAAAGCAGUUACGCAUGAAGGAACAAGCUUAGUAAAAGUUCAAAAAUUACAAAUGCUAACAAGCAAAUUUGACUCGAUUUUUAUGGAAGAAAACGAGACCUUUACCGAGUACUAUAAGCAUCUACAAGACGUAGUCAAUACAUGCGCUAACUUGGGAGAGAAAAUUUCGGAUGCUAAAGUUGUUAGAAAGAUUCUUCGAACACUUCCGGAACGCUUUCGGGCAAAGGUUGUCGCGAUCGAAACCGUUAAGCAUCCGGACGAGAUGAAAGUAGAGGAAUUAGUAGGCACUUUACAAACGUAUGAGAUGACUUUUCCUACUAACCCAUCUUCUUCCAAGUCUUCUUCUAAAAGUACAGGAAUUGCACUCAAAUCGACAAAGAAAGAAGACGACGAUUCGGAUUCCGACGGAGAUAUUUCGCUUGCCGAUUUCGAACAUCAACUUGCGCUCCUCACAAAGAAGUUUCGCCGGAAUUUUCGAAAGAGCAAAUCGAAAUAAACCUUCAUCUUCGAAGCAUAAAUCCUCUUCUAAGCAUUCUUCUAAUUUAAAAUCUAAGGAUAAAAAACUUGCAAUGUUUUCGAAUGAAAAAGACGAAUUUGAAAGGGAAAUCCAAUGCUACAAAUGUAAAUGCCAGGGUUACAUUGCAACGGAUUGUCCUUCUAAGAAGACUUAUAGACAAAAGGCUUUGCAAGCAAAAACCUGGGAUGAUUCUACUUCGAGUGAAUCAUCUCCAAGUGACGAAGAAAAAAAUCAUCAUAUUGCUUUACUUGCUAAUAAUUCUUUGCCUUCGUCUAAUGUUAUGUGCUUAUCUUCAAUUGUUUCUAAUUCUAGUAUUUCUCCUUCCGUGCAAGGUACUUCGAGCGAUAUCGGUGAAAGUGAGGAGGAAUCAAACGACGAGGAUAUAGCGGAAGCAUACAACCAACUUCUUAUUGAUUCGAAAAAGAUGACCAAGCACAAUAAGAAGUUGAGGCGUCGUUUAUUGGACAUUGAAGAGGAGAAUAAAAAUUUGAAGACCAUGAAUAGUGCUCUCGAGGAGGAAAGGGAAUCAAAUUUGAAAGAUCGUUCAAUCCUCCAAGGAAGCUUGAUGAAGCAGAAUCAACUAUCAAAUCUUAUAAAGACAAGAUUGAAUUUUUGGAGCAUCAAUUUGAGGAAUCGCACAAAUCCAAUCAAUCAUUGACCGAUCAAGUUCGUCAACUCUAAUCCGAUCUUCAACAAUUUUCUUCGGGAUCAAAGAAGUUGGACCAUAUGCUUGGGUUGGGUCAAACGAGCAAGUUGGGCCACAGAUAUGAAAGAACAUGUGUUGAGAAGGAUAAAGAAGUAAUACAUAAAGUCUUAACAACUUCAAAAGAGAAGGUGUGUCAUAAAUGUGGCAUCAAAAGACACAUUAAAACGAAUUGCCCAAAUAAGAAAAAGAAGAAUCAAUCGGCAAUGUCUAAACCUCAAUUGGCAUCAUCUACAACUCGGCUUCCCCCACGGAAUCAAAAGAAAAAUCAAGUGAGUCGAGUACCUCGAGGGAACCGGACUUCUAAGCCGCAACGUCAAGUUCGACCAUACCCACAAGCAAACCGGAGUUCAAAGGUUCAUCAACAAUUCCAACUGAAGCCUCAAGCAACGAAACGACCAACGGUUGAUCAAAAAUCAAAGCAAAUUGUGCCUAACGUCGACAAGACAAGACAACGCAAAAUCCGACAAGUUUGGAUUCGGAAAGGUGAUGUCUUUCCUUGCUCUCCGUCUUAGUUUGUUUUGAUUGUUUAUGUAAUGCUUUGUUUGGUGCUUGUUGCAUAUUUUUUUUCAUUGCAUUACAUGAUGAUUUUCGUGUAUGAAAUUUAUUUUUAAAUUGAUUUGAGGAAAAUGGUUUGGGAAUUUAAAAUGUUUUUUUGUGAAAGGAGAUGAUUGAAAAUCUUUAUUUUGGGAGAUUAGAUUUUUUUCAAAGUGCCUUAAUCGGAAUUCAUCUUGAAUUAAAUUCAUAUUUAUUAUCGAUUUUACUCCACUUUUUGUUAUUUUGACGAUAAUUGAUUAUAUGAAUUCUUAAUAUAUUUAUUCAUCAAAAUUUUGAAAUCAAUUUUGAUCUUUUGGUGAUUAAUUCAUCUUGGUUGUGUGUGUUGAAUAUGAUGGAUGCAUAUUCACUAAUCGACUAAAAUUUUGUUAAAAUUAUUUUCAACUGUGAGAUUGUCUAAUUUAGGGAGAGUUUGAAUUAUUUUAAAAAAAAGAGAAAAGAUACUCCUAUAUUUAAAAGAUGUGGAAAGAGUUGCCUCUUAAAAGGAGUAUGAAAACUACCAUCACAUGUAGGAAAGAGCUACCACCCCGGUCGUCCGGCAAGUGCGUGAAGCUACCACAUGAAAAUUAAUUAAAAAGCCGAAAAGGUUAAAGAAAUUGAAUAUUUUAGACUUUUUCGGAGUUAUAAGGUGAUAGGAUGAAAAGAUGCUCAAAGAGCCACUCCCGGUGCCAUAUUAGUUAAAUCUCUAUUUUGAACGAGUUGCGACAAAUUAGUGUCAAUUUUGUUGAAUUUCUAAAAAUCAUUUUUCAUCAACUUACAUCUUGAUGGUUUUUGAAACACUAGAUUAUAUUAGAUUUCCAAAUUUUGAUGUUUUAAUGUAUUUUGACUUCCUAUAAUACUUUACUAUCAUCAUAAUGAUUUUUGGAGUACAAUUUGUAAGUUUUGGGGUAGCCCAGGGAUCUAUCUAGAUUGUAUCUAACACCUAGAGAGGGGUGAAUAGGUGUAAAAGCCGAAAACCACAAAUCUCAAUGCGAUAACAGUAAAUGCGGAAAAAUAAAAAUCACACCAAGAUUUACGUGGAAAACUCCAACUAGGAGUAAAAAACCACGGGACCAACAUGCGAUAACAAUCCACUAAGAAUAAAAUAUUACAAGGUGAUUUACCGAUUCCACGGACUCAAACCUCUCUUUUAUCUUCUCCGGAUCUCGCGCACACCAACGGGUUGUCCACGCCCCACGUCCGAAUCCACGAAUGCCACGUCCCGAAUCCACGAAACGUCCACAUUUGGAAUCCACGAAGCCUUGAUCACGCCGAAUCCAUGACGCCGACUCGAAUCGACGAGCACGCUCCGUCUGGAGCAAAAAUACCAAGAUUGAUGAUGAUUUAUUGCUUAGACAAUCAUUAAAGAACUGUAGAAGAUGUUUCUAAGCAAUAGCCGGAUCAAUUCCCCAUGAAGAACGAGAAAUUUUGAGUUACACGAAUUGAUCCGAUAGAAACUUGUUGUUCGAGAGAAGAAAGAAUGCACCCAACAAGUUUCUAGGGUUGCAAAAAGAUAUUCUAUCAUUCGUUAUCUCUUAGAAACGCCCAUACAUCUUAUUUAUAAGUUUAGAAGACUUAGAAACCAACUAGGAUUGCAAAAAUCCAAUUUUAAAAACUUAUGUCGUCCUCAUGGACCGGUCCUCUCAAGGAGACCGGUCUGUCAGAGACCAGUGCCUUGGGUGGGAGACCGGUCCCUCGCUGCGUGAUAGAAAACACAACGUUCGGGAACUGGUCUCUCAUGCCAGAAACCAGUCUCUCUCUUAGAGUCAAAAAUCCCAACGUUCAAGAACCGGUUUCUCAUGCCAGAGACCGGUUGCACCGACCAGGAGACCGGUCCCUCAGAUCAGGAAACCGGUUGCCUUGAACUUUCACGCAGAGAGGACUCUCGGGAACCGGUCUCUCAUCUCAGGGGACCGGUCCCAGCACAUUGAAAAAUUCAGUUUGUCCAGAUUCAUAUUUUAAAAACCAUCCUAAGUCUUCGAAACACUUUUAAACAUUUAUAAAUCAUCAUCAAUGGUUUUUAAACUUACCAAGCAUUAUGCAUUCAUGUUUUGAGUCUUCGAGUCUUCGAUCUUCAUCUCUUUUUCUUCAAACAUUCAAGACUAUGACUAACAUCACGAAAUAUGCCAACAUAAAAUCCGUAAUAAUCUCCCCCUUUGACAAUUUCGUGACAAAACUAAAAAAUACAUCAAAAUACUCACAAUGCUCAACUCUCCAAAAAAAUGAAAUUCAUUGCCAUCACCAAAACAAUGAACUUCUUGCGUGAAAAAUCCAAAGAAAAUACAAAAUUAUAAUUUCGCAACUCCUAAACAAACUCUAUGACUUAAAUACAAGGAGUCUUGAAGUCUUCGAGAAUCUGCAGAAAGAAUACAAAGAAUAUUUUCUCCUCGAACAGAGUUAGUAAAAAAAAAAUGAACAUCUCUCCCCCUUUGUUAAUGAAAAUCUGUCCCCCUCUGUUCAUGCAUCCUUUGUUAAUAAAAAUCUGUCCCCCUUUGUUCAUGCAUCUAAAUAUGAUCAAUAAAAAUUCACAUGAAAAAAUUGAAAAUCUCUUCUCUCUCUCUCUCCCUUUUUGUAAUGUACCGAAAAUUCGAAAAAUAAAUAUCGAACUUUAGUCAAAUUGACCAAAGUGCGAGGAUGGAACACUUCGGAAAGUCCGAAGGUGUUAAAAUGAUUAAAAGUGAGUUGUGGAAGGUUUUCGAGAGCUAAAGAAUUGAAUUCUGCAAAACUGCAGAUUUUCAGCUCUCGGGGACCGGUCCCUGUGGUUACGCAGCCUUUAUGGGGGUUAAUCCAAAAAUCUCCCAGUUAACGUGUAUCUUUGGAAGUACUCGUUUUCGGGGUUAAACCCACGGGAUCGAGGUAACAUAUAGUUUUGGAUCCCAAACUAGAGUAACCCUUCGUUUUCAUCGAAGUAAUAUGAGAUUUAUUGGGUAAUCUUGGUAAGAAUCCGAAAGGUUUUGGGAUCAAACCUAAAGUGGUAAUCUCCACCAGGUUCGAGUGGAUAUAUCGUUUUGAUCCAAAACUAGAGAAAUCUUCGUUUUCUUUCGAAGUUUUGAUGAUCUGUAAGGUAAUUUUUGGUAAAGAUACAAGUAAGUUUGGGUAAAGAUCCCAAAAUGAUGUAAUCCCAAGUUUCGAAUGGAACAUUCGAGAGGAAAGAACGGGAUCUCUCCUUCUUCUACUUCGGGGAAAACGAGAAACUAGAAGAAGAAGUGAAAGGAGAGGAAGAAAAGGAAGAAAGGGAACAGAAGAAGAAGAGGAAGAAACAGAAGAUCUCUCUCUUUCUCUCCUCUCUCACACUCUCCCUCACCUUACUCUCCUUUUCGGGGAGUCGGGUGAUGUAUCGAGUUACCCAACGUUUUUACGUUCUUUUGGGGAGUUGAAAAUAGAGACACGUGACGGACCUGACCCGUCAAAAGCGUCCGUCUCUGGCCAGAGGGGCUCGUCCCUGGCCAAGGGCUUGCAGGUGGGACGCGUCGGUCUCAGCGACGCGCGCUACGCUGGCCAGAGGGAGGCUACCCUGGCCAGAGACCCCCUGGCCAGAGAGUCCAUCUCUGGCCAAGGGCUCUCGAUUAGAAGGUCCUGAAUCGGCUAAAAAGCCGACAGAGUCAAGUAUGCGCAAGCCCCUGGCCAGAGAGGGAAGNCAAAUUGGCAUCGGUCCCGGGGCGUGACACUUUUUGUCAAAAAUUGCCAAAAGCAAGUACCAAAAAUAGAGAGUACCAAUAAUGUUAGUGCAUGAAUAGGAUAAAUUCACAUAGACUUUCGAAAGAACCAGAAAGGAGCACUUUGAAGAACUGUGGCCUCUUCGGAUUGUUGCAGCUCCUUCCAGAAGCCAUUAACCCUUUUAUUUUCUUUUUCUUUUCAUUUUCCAUAUUUAUCGUCGAGAAACAAACGUGCCCUGUAACAGAUUUUAAGAAAGAGAAAGGAGAAGUUUUGAUAAAGUUUGGAGAAAGAUGGAAAACCUGUAACCGGUUUUAAAACUGUGGCUACCAAUACACUUUGCUGGAUUUCAAAAAUUUUGAAUUAUAAAAACCUUUUAAACUUAAAUUAAUUUCAUACGAAUUAAGGACUUUACUCCAAAAAUCAUUAUAAUGGAGGUAAAAUAUUAUAAGAUUUCAAAAUAC
RNAcentral lists this long non-coding RNA (18305 nucleotides) under Ananas comosus (pineapple). RNAcentral's name for it is "long non-coding RNA (ACOM_LNC000749)". Lineage: Eukaryota; Viridiplantae; Streptophyta; Magnoliopsida; Poales; Bromeliaceae. The record is from RNAcentral.